Molecule: ribosomal RNA, 483 nt
Filed under: uncultured bacterium
Lineage: Bacteria
Description: partial 16S ribosomal RNA
Rfam family: Bacterial small subunit ribosomal RNA
Source: RNAcentral
AUUGAACGCUGGCGGCAGGCCUAACACAUGCAAGUCGAGCGGAUGAAGGGAGCUUGCUCCUGGAUUCAGCGGCGGACGGGUGAGUAAUGCCUAGGAAUCUGCCUGGUAGUGGGGGAUAACGUCCGGAAACGGGCGCUAAUACCGCAUACGUCCUGAGGGAGAAAGUGGGGGAACUUCGGACCUCACGCUAUCAGAUGAGCCUAGGUCGGAUUAGCUAGUUGGUGGGGUAAAGGCCUACCAAGGCGACGAUCCGUAACUGGUCUGAGAGGAUGAUCAGUCACACUGGAACUGAGACACGGUCCAGACUCCUACGGGAGGCAGCAGUGGGGAAUAUUGGACAAUGGGCGAAAGCCUGAUCCAGCCAUGCCGCGUGUGUGAAGAAGGUCUUCGGAUUGUAAGCACUUUAAGUUGGGAGGAAGGGCAGUAAGUUAAUACCUUGCUGUUUUGACGUUACCAACAGAAUAAGCACCGGCUAACUUCGUG